This is an RNA transcript of Malaclemys terrapin pileata, 5241 nucleotides long. It is a transcript of the gene named zinc finger protein 239-like, with no coding region annotated. NCBI's taxonomy places the organism in Eukaryota, Metazoa, Chordata, Testudines, Emydidae. The transcript has 3 exons. The record is from RefSeq and is a predicted model, not a curated record.
CAGACGCUGCAGCUGCUGCCCCCAUAGCUCCUUUGUGAGCCGAGAUCCCGGUCUGAGCCGCUGCUGCUCCCCAGCGGGGUGUGUCCUUCCCUAGCGCCCCUCUGUGCCCAGCCGGGGGGACUUUCUGCGGGGGCUGGAACCAGCCCCGGGCUCUGCCGACACCAGCCCCUGAGCCGGAGCCUGCAGGCUGGAAAAUAACAUCCAGGUUUCACUCCACAUUUUCCCACCCUCCCUGGGGAUAGCGAAGGGAAAUGGCUGCAGCAUAACAGGCACAGGGACACUACAUUCUCUUUAAUGUGAAGCUGGAAGAUGUGGGAAAGGCCCAGCAGGAAGAGUUAGAAAUUACCCACUAUGAGGAAACAGCCACAUGUGCAGAGGUUUAUCGAAGACCUACUACCAACCCGCAGGACUCCGAAGCCAAGAGUCACUCCAGAAAGUCAGGAGACAGGCAUAGAUUCAUAAGUUCUAAGGCCGUAAUGGACCAUUGUGAUCAUCUAGUCAGACCUUCUGAAUAACGCAGGCCAUAGGACUUCCCUGUAUUAAUUUCUGAUUGAAAUAGAGUGGCUCUUUUAGAAAAACAUCCAAUCUUGAUUUUAAAAUUUCCAGUAAUGGAGAAUCCACUGCAACCCUUGAUAAGUUUUCCCCAAUGCUUAAUUACCCUCUCUGGUAGAAAGUUUGCACCUAAUUUCUAGUCUGAAUUUCUAUUGCUUCAGCUUCCAGCCACUGUAUCUUGUUGUACUUUUGUCUGCUAGAUUGAAGAGCCCAUUAUCAAACUUCUGUUCCCCAUAUGAGUACUUGUAGAUGGGGAUCACGUCACCACUUAUUCAUUUGUUUGAUAAGCUAAAUGGCUUGAGCUCCUUGCGUCUAUCACUAUAAGGCAGGUUUUUCAAUCCUUUAAUCAUUCUUGUGGCUCUUUGAGCCCUUUCCAAUUGUACAGCAUCAUUCUUGAAUUGUGGAUACUAGAACGGGACAUAGUAGUCAAGUAGCAGUUGCACCAGUAACACACAGAGAGGUAAUAUAACCUAUCCAUUCCUACUCAAGUUUCCCCUGUUUAUACAUUAAAAGGGCUAAUGUGAUGCUUCAGGUACAGCGUCACACUGGGAACUCACGUUCAGUUGAUUAUCUACCUUGAGCCUCAGAGCUUUAUCCUGGGAAGCAGUGACUCUGAAAGAGUAUCCCAUUUUGCAAAUACCGCCUGCUUUGUUUCUAGAUGUGGGAGUUUAUAUGGGGUGUAGAGAAACGCAUCUUGUUGGCUGACAUUCAGUUUACCAAGUGAUCCAAAUCUCUGUAAAAUGACUAGUCCUCUUUAUUAUUUACCACUCUUCCAAUCUUUGUGUCUUCUGCAAACUUUAUCAAUAAAGAUUUUGCUUUCUUCCAAGUCAUUGAUAAAAAUGUUAAAUAGCAUAGGGCCAAGAACUAGCCACUGUGGGAUUCCACUAGAAACACACCUGUCCUCUGGCGAUUCCCCAUUUACAAUUACAUUUUGAGACUUAUCAGUUAGUUUAUUUUUUUAACUAUUUAUUAAUUUCUAACAAGUUCACAAAUCCUUGCCUGGUACAUAUCAGACAGAAAACACUUGUUACAAGAGUUAGCUUUUGUUGAAAGAGACAUUAUACAGUUAGACAGUUUUUAAUCUAUAUAAUGUGCCAUGGAGCAGGUCCUCAAGGAAUCAAUUCUGAAGAACUUAGAGGAGAGGAAAGUGAUCAGGAACAGUCAGCAUGGAUUCACCAAGGGCAAGUCAUGCCUGACUAACCUAAUUGCCUUCUAUGAUGAAGUGGUCUAGUGGUUAGGAUUUGGUGCGCUCACUGCCACAACCUGGGUUUGAUUCCCAGUCAGGGAAAAGUGACUUUAUAUCAAAAAACCUUCAGUUAUUCUUCACUUGCAAUUUAAACAAAUCCACGGCGAGAUAACUGGCUGUGUGGAUGAGGGGAAAACAGUGGAUGUGUUAUUCCUUGACUUUAGCAAAGCUUUUGAUACGGUCUCCCACAGUAUUCUUGCCAACAAGUUAAAGUAGUAUGGGCUGGAUGAAUGGACCAUAAGGUGGAUAGAAAGCUGGCUAGAUCGUCGGGCUCAACGGGUAGUGAUCAAUGGCUCCAUGUCUAGUUGGCAGCUGGCAUCAAGCAGAGUGCCCCAAGGGUCGGUCCUGGGACCGGUUUUGUUAAAUAUAUUUAUCAGUGAUCUGAAGGAUGGCGUGGACUGCACCCUCAGUAAGUUUGCAGAUGACACUAAACUGGGAGGAGUGGUAGAUACGCUGGAGGGUAGGGAUAGGAUACAGAGGGACCUAGACAAAUUAGAGGAUUGGGCCAAAAGAAAUCUGAUGAGGUUCAACAAGGACAAGUCCAGAGUCUUGCACUUAAGCUGGAAGAAUCCCAUGCACUGCUACAGACUAGGGACCGAAUGGCUAGGAAGCAGUUCUGCAGAAAAGGACCUAGGGGUUACAGUGGAUGAGAAGCUGGAUAUGAGUCAACAGUGUGCCCUUGUUGCCAAGAAGGCUAACGACAUUUUGGGCUGUAUAAGUAGGGGCAUUGCCAGCAGAUCAAGGGAUGUGAUCGUUCCCCUCUAUUCGACAUUGGUGAGGCCUCAUCUGGAGUACUGUGUCCAGUUUUGGGCCCCACAUGACAAGAAGGAUGUGGAAAAAUUGGAAAGAGUCCAGUGGAGGGCAACAAAAAUGAUUAGGGGUCUGGAGCACAUGACUUAUGAGGAGAAGCUGAGGGAACUGGGAUUCUUUAGUCUGCAGAAGAGAAGAAUGAGGGGGGAUUUGAUAGCUGCUUUCAACUACCUGAAAAGGGGGUUCCAAAGAGGAUGGAUCUAGACUAUUCUCAGUGGUAGCAGAUGACGGAACAAGGAGUAAUGGUCUCAAGUUGCAGUGGGGGAGGUUUAGGUUGGAUAUUAGGAAAACCUUUUUCACUAGGAGGGUGGUGAAGCACUGGAAUGGGUUACCUAGGGAGGUGGUGGAAUCUCCUUCCUUAGAGGUUUUUAAGGUCAGGUAUGACAAAGCCCUGGCUGGGAUAAUUUAGUUGGGGAUGGGUCCUGCUUUGAGCAGGGGGUUGGACUAGGUGACCUCCUGAGGUCCCUUCCAACCCUGAUAUUCUAUGAUUCUGCUGAGAUGCAGCCAUCCAACCUGUACAGUCCCUUCACCCCACAGAAGGUAGUACAAUGUACCACAAACCCAAAACCCUACGCCACUUACCUAUCCAGUGCUUCACUUCCAGAAUCUUCUGCUUCCUGUCUUUCUUGGCUCAUGGGCCAGGAAAUAUUUCUGAGAAGAUCAUUUGGACAUUCUUCUCCUUCAGCGCCCUUCUAGGUUCUCUGAAUUUGACUGUAUUCUCUCCAGUUCAACUUAAAAAUCACAAGUUAAAAAAAAAAUGGUGGUAAUUUUAUUUGCCUUCUGUUUUCUGAGCCCAGGGGGUAGGGAAGAUAUGUAUGUGUGAAGCUCCCUGGUGUGUGUGUAUCACACUGUAUCGACAAAACUCCACCUCCAACAGUGCACAUGGAAAAGUGUGCCCCCCCCACCCCCCCGGCUGCUGGGAUUUACCCUUCUGACUUCUCUAUCUCCCUGCUUAAUCACGACUCUGUUUCCUCUUUACCCCAGCCAGUCUUCUCCUUUUCUCUCCUGCCCUAUAGUUACCUGCCUUUCCCUUUCCAGUUUCCCACCUGUUACAGCUACUGCCCCACGUGCCCCUGCACUGUCUAUUCUCCUGCACCUGCUCAUCCUCCUGCUGGCUGAUUCCCCCACGCAUCCUCCUGGACCCCCCCAGGGUCCCUAUAGCUCCCCAUAUUUCCACUUUUCCUCUGAGUUUCCUGUCCAGUCUCCUAACCACAGAGCCCCAGCCAUAUUCCUCGAGAAGAGCCUGACAUUCACACUGGAAACAAGGGCAGUUGGUGGCCAUCUUUAUUAGGGGCAGCCUCACUUCCACAUGCCAAAUCUGUACGGAAACAGUGGCCAUCUUGAUUAAGGGCCAUUUGACUUCAGCCCCCCCAGACCCAUCCCAAAGUAAUGGGAAAUGACAGCCAUGUCUCACAAAGGGAAAUGUGCGAGUUUUCGACUCCAGGACCCUGAAUCUCCUGCUGGGAGAAACCUCAAGUCUCCAAGGAACCAUCUGACCUCCUCAAAGGGUCUCCAGGAACGGUUUCCAAUUCCUUUAGUUUAUACAAGUGAUGGAAUACACUCCUGUAUUCAUACCCUACACCCUACUGGAAUAAUUUUUGUACAAAGUAUGACUUUUGAAGUAUCUUUUGAAAAUUCAUAAUUUGGUGGUCAGUGUUGUCCUGAUAAAAUAUUUGGCAAUAUUGUAUGUAAAAUUAAGAUUUUCCUGUAGGAUGUUGUUAACACAUGUUCCAAACCAUAGCAGAAGUUGGCAAACCGGUCUGUCCCAAACAGUGUGCUCUGCUUCAUUAGCAUUUAAGCAGUAACUAGAGUCAUCAAGCAGGAAGGGAGACAAAGGGAGCACAAACAGGUGAAGAAAAAAGCAGCAGAGAAAAUCCUUCCACACAGACUCUUUGUCUCCUCGUUCUCAGCUGGAUAUGCUUCUCAAAGGGGGAACAGGACUAUAAAAAAUAGGGGCAGACACCCCAAGAGACCUCUUUUCUGCCUCCCUCCCCCAUUCAUCUCACUCUUUGCACCUGAGCAGACAAAGAAAAUAGCCGUUGGACUAUGGGGGACGGGUCCUGACCCGAAGGUUGGUCAGUAACACUGCUGGAAGUAUGUGGUGAGAAACUUUGCUUCAGAUCUUGUUGUUAGAUGCGAGAGAGCAUCUUCUCUAUUUUUCUUGUCAUUUCUUACUUUUAUGCUUCAUUACUUGUAUUCACUUAAAACCUAUCUCUUUGGAUAAAAUAGUAAAACAAGUUUAUUAACUACAAUCUAGUGUGUUUAACUUGGAGUGUCUGGGUACUUUAUUUAAAGUAAUAAGCAGUCAUAUUAGUACUUUAAGGAAUUAAGGACUUAUUUUAUUUGUAUUGUCCAGGAGAGGGCUGGGUAGUACAGGCCAUACAUUUCUGGAGGGCAAUCUAAGAGUGGGGGUGUGUGGGGGUCACACUGAAGUAUAACCAAGGCUGGUGAGAGUCAGAGUGUAACCCAAGUGUGCCUGGUAGGCUGCAGUUACUUACACUCUCUCUCUCUCCCUCUCUCUUUGAGGAUGUGGUUUGCAUGCUGGUAGGCUGUUUGUGUAUGGUCCUGGUGGGUGCUAGUUCAGCAAGGCAUUGUAAGGCACCCAAGGUUACAGGGCAGGGGUGACACAGCUG